CCUGCCGGCGACCGGCGCACGGGUGAAGUAACACGUAUGCGACCUGCCCCCGCAGGGGGAUAACCGGGAGAAAUCCCGACUAAUACCGCGUAACGCCGCGGGGCUGCAUAGGCCCGGCGGCCAAAGGAAGCGAUUCCGGCGGGGGAUGGGCAUGCGGCGCAUUAGCGUAGUCGGCGGGGUAACGGCCCACCGAGGCGACGAUGCGUAGGGGUUCUGAGAGGAAGGUCCCCCACACUGGUACUGAGACACGGACCAGACUCCUACGGAAGGCAGCAG
This 276-nucleotide ribosomal RNA is filed under the name uncultured bacterium. Its description in RNAcentral is "partial 16S ribosomal RNA". It matches the Rfam family "Bacterial small subunit ribosomal RNA", at positions 84 to 354 of the family's 1533-position model. The record is from RNAcentral.